RNAcentral lists this small nucleolar RNA (127 nucleotides) under Leptobrachium leishanense (Leishan spiny toad). RNAcentral describes it as "Small nucleolar RNA SNORA65 (ENSLLEG00000030026.1)". It matches the Rfam family "Small nucleolar RNA SNORA65". Rfam says of the family: U65 belongs to the H/ACA class of snoRNAs which are thought to guide the sites of modification of uridines to pseudouridines. Lineage: Eukaryota; Metazoa; Chordata; Amphibia; Anura; Megophryidae. The record is from Rfam by way of RNAcentral.
CCCGCCACUAUGCCGAUCUGCCGGUGAUUUGGCGUAUUCCAGUGGUGAGCUGAGAUCAGAUUGCCGUCUUAGGAAACAGAGUCCUCCUGCGCGUGGAAGACCCUGUGCCGAAAGAUUGGGGACAAAA